RNAcentral lists this small RNA (130 nucleotides) under Klebsiella aerogenes. RNAcentral's name for it is "RtT sRNA". It matches the Rfam family "RtT RNA". From Rfam's summary of the family: This family represents a bacterial cis-regulatory element known as RtT RNA. The exact function of RtT is unknown although it is thought that it may be involved in changing the cellular response in relation to amino acid starvation. The record is from RNAcentral. Lineage: Bacteria; Pseudomonadati; Pseudomonadota; Gammaproteobacteria; Enterobacterales; Enterobacteriaceae.
UAUUCUGCCCUACGGGGAAGGAUGAGAAGCUUCGACUAAGGUUCGACUCGAGCGUCAGCGAGAGAACGUUGCCGCAGGCAACGGCCCGAAGGGCGAGGCGCUUUAGCGCCGAGUAAUCCUUCCCCCACCA